Molecule: long non-coding RNA, 356 nt
Organism: Clarias gariepinus (North African catfish)
Lineage: Eukaryota; Metazoa; Chordata; Actinopteri; Siluriformes; Clariidae
Exons: 3
Source: RefSeq, a predicted model, not a curated record
UGGGACAGUCACCUCAGUGUAUCUCAGUGUAUAAAUGAGGGCCAAAUGAGGUCGCUCAGAUCUGUGAGAGUGCACUAACCAAGGCGACUCGUCAUGCUCCCUCCCUGGUGUUUCGGCACGCUUCUCUUGAGCGCUGUUCUCGGGUCUCCACUGCGCACCAAUGUCACGUUGGAAAGCACAAGUGAACCCAACUCCACUUCCUAUCCUGAUGACCUAGAAAACAACAAAACUGCAAGAGACUUCAAUCAGACCCAGGACAUGGUUAUGCUUUUGUGAGUGUUCUGUGCAAUGUGAAUCAUUUCAGUAAGGAAUAUUGUAGAGUGUUAAGCACUUAAGAUGUUUAAUUACAGAAGAGG